GACGAACGCUGGCGGCGUGCUUAACACAUGCAAGUCGAACGAUGAAGCUGGAGCUUGCUCCGGUGGAUUAGUGGCGAACGGGUGAGUAACACGUGAGCAAUCUGCCCUUGACUCUGGGAUAACUGCGGGAAACUGUAGCUAAUACCGGAUACUUUCACUGGAAGGCAUCUCCUGGUGAAGAAAGAAUUUCGGUCAAGGAUGAGCUCGCGGCCUAUCAGCUUGUUGGUAAGGUAACGGCUCACCAAGGCGACGACGGGUAGCCGGCCUGAGAGGGUGACCGGCCACACUGGGACUGAGACACGGCCCAGACUCCUACGGGAGGCAGCAGUGGGGAAUGUUGCACAAUGGGCGCAAGCCUGAUGCAGCAACGCCGCGUGAGGGAUGAAGGCCUUCGGGUUGUAAACCUCUUUUAGCAGGGAAGAAGCGAAAGUGACGGUACCUGCAGAAAAAGCACCGGCUAACUACGUGCCAGCCGCCGCCGUAA
This 484-nucleotide ribosomal RNA is filed under the name uncultured bacterium. Its description in RNAcentral is "partial 16S ribosomal RNA". It matches the Rfam family "Bacterial small subunit ribosomal RNA", at positions 28 to 523 of the family's 1533-position model. The record is from RNAcentral.